AACGAACGCUGGCGGCAUGCCUAACACAUGCAAGUCGAACGAGACCUUCGGGUCUAGUGGCGCACGGGUGCGUAACGCGUGGGAAUCUGCCCUUGGGUUCGGAAUAACAGCGAGAAAUUGCUGCUAAUACCGGAUGAUGACGUAAGUCCAAAGAUUUAUCGCCCAAGGAUGAGCCCGCGUAGGAUUAGCUAGUUGGUGAGGUAAAGGCUCACCAAGGCGACGAUCCUUAGCUGGUCUGAGAGGAUGAUCAGCCACACUGGGACUGAGACACGGCCCAGACUCCUACGGGAGGCAGCAGUGGGGAAUAUUGGACAAUGGGCGAAAGCCUGAUCCAGCAAUGCCGCGUGAGUGAUGAAGGGCCUUGGGGUUGGUUAAAGACUCUUUUACCCGGGUACGUGAUAAU
This 403-nucleotide ribosomal RNA is filed under the name uncultured bacterium. RNAcentral describes it as "bacterial SSU rRNA". It matches the Rfam family "Bacterial small subunit ribosomal RNA", at positions 29 to 455 of the family's 1533-position model. The record is from RNAcentral.